CAAAACGUAAUACUGGACCUGUACACACCAUAACAAAGCUUUUAUUUCGGACAAGAAUAUGACACUGUUACUGAAUGUGGCGAAAAGUGUCCCUAAGGCAGCGUUUUACAAAAGUCUCGUUCGUUAUCCGAGCUCUUUGGCAGACAGCGGCCUGAAAGCCGAAGGAGAAGGGCCGCUGGUGAUAGUCGGGUCAAGCCGGGAUCUGGUGCACAGAGUCGGGACACAGGUGGAGGUUAGGACAGACUUCAUCACCGAGCACGAGGAGGCUGAACUUCUGCGGGAGCUGGAACCUGGUUUGAAGAAGAAACGUUACGAAUUUGAUCACUGGGAUGACGCUAUUCAUGGAUACAGAGAAACCGAACGUGUGAUGUGGGGGGCAGCGUGUCAGACCAUCAUAGCCCGUGUCAGAUCUGUCGCGUUUGCCUCUGGAAGCUCACUUCUUGGGCCCGUCCACGUCCUCGAUCUGGACAAAGCCGGCUAUAUCAAGCCUCACAUUGACAGUGUCAAGUUCUGUGGCAGCACCAUUACCGGGUUGAGUCUUCUUUCAGAUAGCGUCAUGCGCUUAGUCAAAAAUGAUGCUCCAAGUGAGUGGCUAGACAUGCUGCUGCCUCGACGCUCGCUCUACAUUCUAAGGGACCGGGCCAGAUACGACUUCACUCACGAGAUCUUAAAAGAUGAGGAGUCUUUGUUUAAUGGACAGAGAGUGCCUCGACAGCGACGCAUCGCUGUUAUUUGUCGGAACCUUCCGGCUUAAAAUGCACUUCAGCUCAGAUGGGAUAUGAAUUCUACCUGAGCUCCAAAGACAAUAUCAUUUCUAAGAUAUUUGUAACACAUCCCAACUGGUCAUGCUUGAAGUCACCUUGCUCUAGCUUGCUGGCAGCAGCGCGAAGUGUGUUGGAGGUUGCGGCGGAGUCUAUCGAUGGCGUUCCCGGCCGGCUGCCAGUUCUGGAGCUCCCGGCAGAGCCGCGUCCACCCCCGCGCUUAGGAGGAGUGCGCUUCUUCUACAAAGGAGGAGGGACAAGAAGAUUCAUUGUGGGUACACGUAUUCUCUUCAAUAUUUAGUUUGUUUUUUUUUUUUGCAGUCAUGUUUCAUCCAACUGACAAUCUAUAUUUUGAAG
RNA transcript from Hippocampus comes (tiger tail seahorse), 1118 nucleotides. It is a transcript of the gene named alkB homolog 7, with no coding region annotated. The transcript has 5 exons. NCBI's taxonomy places the organism in Eukaryota, Metazoa, Chordata, Actinopteri, Syngnathiformes, Syngnathidae. The record is from RefSeq and is a predicted model, not a curated record.